This is a long non-coding RNA of Gorilla gorilla gorilla (western lowland gorilla), 284 nucleotides long. RefSeq lists it as uncharacterized. The transcript is spliced from 3 exons. The record is from RefSeq and is a predicted model, not a curated record. Lineage: Eukaryota; Metazoa; Chordata; Mammalia; Primates; Hominidae.
CGAGCAGCAUGCCUAUCAGUGAGAAGGUGCCUGACAAUUCUCAGUUGAAAUGUCCUGACCAAGUUCCCCCAGAAAUUUAUGACUAAUAACAAAAGGGAAAAGCUACCCUCACAAGGAGAUGUCCAGUUGACACUACCUCAACCAAAAUCAUUAAACAUAGCAUCAGCAAUCGCGGGACAAACAGACGCAAACAUCUCCUGGUGUGAGGCGACUGAAUGCAGCGGUGUGAUCUCAGCUCACUGCAAUCUUCACCUCCCAGAUUCAAGCCAUCCUCCCACCUCAGC